Molecule: ribosomal RNA, 408 nt
Filed under: uncultured bacterium
Lineage: Bacteria
Description: partial 16S ribosomal RNA
Rfam family: Bacterial small subunit ribosomal RNA
Source: RNAcentral
GACGAACGCUGGCGGCGUGCUUAACACAUGCAAGUCGAACGACGUGGCGAACGGGUGAGUACCGCGUAAUCAACCUGCCUUUCAGAGGGGGACAACAGUUGGAAACGACUGCUAAUACCGCAUACUUAAGGAGGGGAUUGCGUCUGAUUAGCAAGUCGGAGGGGUAACGGCCAACCAAGGCGAUGAUCAGUAGACGGGCUGGGAGGAUGAACGGCCACAUUGGGACUGAGACACGGCCCAGAAUCCUACGGGAGGCAGCAGUGGGGAAUCUUCCGCAAUGGACGAAAGUCUGACGAAGCAACGCCGCGUGAGUGAUGACGGCCUUCGGGUUGUAAAGCUCUGUUAAUCGGGACGCGGUACCGGAAUAGAAAGCCACGGCUAACUACGUGCCAGCAGCCGCGGUAAUUC